UGCCCUGUGAUGUGCCAUUUUCAUUCAUGCAGCCUGCCGCUCAUUGACUCACGCCAUCCCCGACAACGCCAAUGUAUAGCAGAGUGGACCGCCGCGUGCAUGCAUCAUGCAAGCCGGAGGAUAGCGCCAAAUAGACAGCGCAUGAACCGUUAAAUUGGAGCAGUGGCCAAUGGAACGCCUCAAGCCAGACACCGACGUACCGCCAAAUAAAACUGAAGCAAGGGCUGCCCUCCCUUCACCACCCAUGAUUUGCCAGGAGUGUCAUGAGCAUCCUGAGACUUCCGCAGGGGAGGCUACCGACUGGCCCCGUAACGAGACAAGUGGUCCUCAGGCUGCCGA
This is a non-coding RNA of Dermacentor albipictus, 339 nucleotides long. The record is from RefSeq and is a predicted model, not a curated record. Lineage: Eukaryota; Metazoa; Arthropoda; Arachnida; Ixodida; Ixodidae.